This 492-nucleotide ribosomal RNA is filed under the name uncultured bacterium. RNAcentral describes it as "partial 16S ribosomal RNA". It matches the Rfam family "Bacterial small subunit ribosomal RNA", at positions 29 to 507 of the family's 1533-position model. The record is from RNAcentral.
AGUGAACGCUGGCGGUAUGCCUAACACAUGCAAGUCGAACGGCAGCACAGUAAGAGCUUGCUCUUACGGUUGGCGAGUGGCGGACGGGUGAGGAAUACAUCGGAAUCUACUUUUUCGUGGGUGAUAACGUAGGGAAACUUACGCUAAUACCUCAUACGUCCUACGGGUGAAAGCAGUGGAUCUUCGCACCUUGCGCGUUUGAAUGAGCUGAUUUCGGAUUAGCUAGUUGGCUGGGUAAAGGCCCACCAAGGCGACGAUCCGUAGCUGGCCUGAGAGGAUGAUCAGCCACACUGGAACUGAGACACGGUCCAGACUCCUACGGGAGGCAGCAGUGGGGAAUAUUGGGCAAUGGGCGCAAGCCUGAUCCAGCCAUACCGCGUGGGUGAAGAAGGCCUUCGGGUUGUAAAGCCCUUUUGUUAGGAAAGAAAAGCAGCAGGUGAAUACCCCGCUGUUCUGACGGUACCCAAAGAAUAAGCACCGGCUAACUUCGUG